UCAUGAUGGAGAUCCAUUGGUCCAAUAUGCAUCCAUCCACCGCCGUCCAGCAUACUAAUUUCUACCUGAAAAUUUUAAAUAGAGAGGGAUGAGUAUAACGAAUUAUACUCAAUGAGAUACUUGCUACUCCACAUUCAAAUCAAACGUGAAAUUAUGCAUAAAUUCUCUUACCAACAUAACAUGAGAAUUAUCACACCAUGACAAAUGAUAAUUCAAGCAAGCGCUGCAAAUAACGUGAAGGCUAAAUUGUGCCUUAAACUGUAUCAUGAUUU
This 272-nucleotide long non-coding RNA is filed under the name Olea europaea (common olive). RNAcentral's name for it is "long non-coding RNA (OEUR_LNC010055)". The record is from RNAcentral. Lineage: Eukaryota; Viridiplantae; Streptophyta; Magnoliopsida; Lamiales; Oleaceae.